Molecule: ribosomal RNA, 252 nt
Filed under: uncultured bacterium
Lineage: Bacteria
Description: partial 16S ribosomal RNA
Rfam family: Bacterial small subunit ribosomal RNA
Source: RNAcentral
UACAUGUGGGGCAAGCGUUGUUCGGAAUUACUGGGCAUAAAGGGUGCGUAGGCGGCUUGUUAAGUCAUUGGUGAAAGUUUUCGGCCCAACCGGAAAAUUGCCUGUGAUACUGGCGAGCUGGAGUUCGGCAGGGGAGACUGGAAUCCUGGUGUAGCGGUGAAAUGCGCAGAUAUCAGGAGGAACACCGGUGGCGAAGGCGGGUCUCUGGGCCGAUACUGACGCUGAGGAGCGAAAGCGUGGGGAGCGAACAGG